RNAcentral lists this ribosomal RNA (256 nucleotides) under uncultured bacterium. Its description in RNAcentral is "partial 16S ribosomal RNA". It matches the Rfam family "Bacterial small subunit ribosomal RNA", at positions 524 to 776 of the family's 1533-position model. The record is from RNAcentral.
UACGUAGGUGGCAAGCGUUACUCGGAAUUACUAGGCGUAAAGCGCAGGUAGGCGGUUUGGAAAGUUUCUUGUGAAAGCUCCCGGCUUAACUGGGAGAGGCCAAGGAAAACUACCAGGCUAGAGUGUGGAAGAGGAAGCUAGAAUUCCCGGUGUAGCGGUGAAAUGCGUAGAUAUCGGGAGGAAUGACCUAUGGCGAAAGCAGGCUUCUGGUCCAUCACUGACGCUGAUCUGACGAAAGCCUAGGGGAGCAAACAGG